This 1211-nucleotide long non-coding RNA is filed under the name Vigna radiata. Its description in RNAcentral is "long non-coding RNA (VRAD_LNC008919)". Lineage: Eukaryota; Viridiplantae; Streptophyta; Magnoliopsida; Fabales; Fabaceae. The record is from RNAcentral.
UGGUGUAUGAUUUUCAGCAUACACUUGAUGAAAUCACUUAUAUGAGUGUCGAGUGGGGCCGCUUGCAUGAGAUCUUGGCAUGAUCUCUAGAACACUCAUGAAUACUAGGCACGCGCAUGGCCUAAUAAGCGCAACACAGCGAUAACAACAAGAAUUGUGGGGGUGUAUUAUGAUUGAUAAACCUCUAACACACAUCAAGUGUCUUUGGUUCAUAUAGCUUGCUAUACCAACUACACUGUGUGUUAAGUUUCUUGAUCUAAGACUGGUUCAUAUAGCUUGCUAUACCAGUUCUGAUGCAUUACAUCCUAUGAGACCUAGGAUAAAAGUUUUUCUUCUUUUCUCUCAAUUUUCUUUUGCAAUAAGUGAGGGAUUGUUGUAAUAAUGAUUAUAUUAUUGCAAAAGAAAAUGUUGGAUUACAACUUUCAAAACUUUAAUUGCCAAUAAUGUGCUCCAACUGUAAUAUUCCAAUAGCCAAAUUUUUAAGUGAUGUAACUGUCAAAUUAUUUAUUGGUUUUAAUUUCUUUUAUUUAUUUUAUUCUUUCCUAGCUCUAUAAAUAGAGAACUCUUCCCCCUUUCCAAAACAGAACAAGUUGAGUCUUUCUCAUUCUCCUCUCUCUUCUUAGUUUCAUUCUCUUUUCAUCCUGGACAUAAAUUCUAUCAGAUUUUCUUGCUUCUUGCUAGUUCUGUAAUCCUCGAAUACAUUUCGAGAAAUUCCAAUUGUAUCCUGGGGGACUUAUGCAACACACCACAGAUAAAUCCUUAAGGACAAUGAAUCUACAUGCCUCAGGAAAUUGCGAUUCAAGUGAACUAAAUUAUAGUUAGACCUUUUAGUUUGGCUCGUUAAGCUUAUUAUUUCACAAAUAUGUGACUUAAAAGGUGGCUUCUUCCCACAGUUCCAUCAAAUUUCUCCAUGCAUCCUGUCAAAUAAUCUUCAACUUUUAAAAGCUUUUAACUUUGGGUAAAAAAGAUUGAAAAAUUCAAAGAGAAUCUUUGACUUAGAUUCUGUUUUCUCUAAACCUAAAAACUCUUCUCUCUUCACUCUCACUUUCUCGGUGUCACUCUCACUAUCAUUUUCUAGCCAUUCACAACACUCUCCUUCCUCUCCUCUCAACCCCACCUCCUUUCUGUUUGUUCCUCUUUAUUGGACCUACUUCAGUUUCGUUGGUGUUCUUCAUUGGUGAUUUGGUGCCUAAAAGAUUGGUGCUCCCUUC